RNAcentral lists this long non-coding RNA (1053 nucleotides) under Canis lupus familiaris (dog). Its description in RNAcentral is "lncRNA (ENSCAFG00000035239.3, ENSCAFG00805023872.1)". The record is from RNAcentral. Lineage: Eukaryota; Metazoa; Chordata; Mammalia; Carnivora; Canidae.
GACAUGAGCCCGCUUGUUCACUCACUCUCAGUGAAAAGAGUUUUGAAAUGAGUUCUGAAUAGACAGCAUUUUCUUUGUGCGAUUGGUAAAUAACACAGAGCAAAGUUAGCAAGUUGCAGCGCUUCUGCAUUCUGAUUCUAUGGAACCUUUUUGUAGGGAGAAGGGCAGGAUGUUUUUAACAGAAUGUGACCUCACUGGAAUACUAGAGAAAGCAAUAACAUUUCUGAAUGGGGCAGUGUGGAGAAAUCCUAAGAGAAAUAGCAUAAGAGCAUUUUGGAAUAUAUCCCGGAAAAGAUAACUUUCUACACAUCUGUAGACAUUUGCCAGGUUAAGUUGUUCUAUAUCUGAUUGCGAGAAAAUACCAGACGGAGAGAUGGAGUUUGAGGAGUGGCCUUGCCAGUGAGUAUUCGCAGAACCCUACCCCCACAGGCCUGGGUCACAGACUGCCCUUUCUCUACAUGACACUCUUUGUACACAGAAAUGCAUGAAUUCAUUCACUGAUCCAGUCAAUAGAUAUUGAUUGAAUAUUUAUUCCCUAUUGAUUGUAGAUGCUGAGAACCAUACUUAUGUCCUGCUUUAUUGCCAGAUCUGUGACAGGAAAUCAGUUUCUUUUUUUUCAAUAAAUGAGUUUAGGCAUUGGUAUAUCCAUACUUGUCAGGUUCUUCUGGCUGACUUUAGAUGAUAUAGCAUAUGGAAAGAUAUUUCUAACCCUGAGAUUGGGAUUCACCUCUAAUGUUUCGACAAAGAUAGAAAAAAGAAUACAUAAGCAGAGUUAGAAAAAGGUCCCAGAUGCAUUCUUCUCUGUGGAUCAAUGCAACAUCCUUCUACAGUGCUGCAUAUAGAAUACCUGUGUGUACCUAUUAGUAUAAGUUCAGAUCAGUAUUAGAUGUUAUUUUUCCUUUAAAGGACAAUGGAUGGAUGGCAUUACUUGGUGUGGCAACAUUUGAUGUAAAGUGAAAUUUAUAAUGAGAAUAAACACAUGUAAUACAAGAACUGUGACACAGAACGUAAAGACUGCUAACUCUGGGAAACGAACUAGGGGUGGUAGAAGGG